AGCGGGGCCUUUAACAUGCAGUCGAGCGGAAGGCCACUUCGGUGGUACUCGAGCGGCGAACGGGUGAGUAACACGUGAGUAAUCUGCCCCUGGCUUUGGGAUAGCCACCGGAAACGGUGAUUAAUACCGGAUAUGACAGCUUCUCGCAUGAGUGGUUGUGGAAAGUUUUUCGGCCAGGGAUGUGCUCGCGGCCUAUCAGCUUGAUGGUGAGGUAAUGGCUCACCAUGGCUUCGACGGGUAGCCGGCCUGAGAGGGUGACCGGUCACACUGGGACUGAGACACGGCCCAGACUCCUACGGGAGGCAGCAGUGGGGAAUAUUGGACAAUGGGCGAAAGCCUGAUCCAGCAACGCCGCGUGAGGGAUGACGGCCUUCGGGUUGUAAACCUCUUUCAGCAGGGACGAAGCGCAAGUGACGGUACCUGCAGAAGAAGCACCGGCCAACUACGUGCCAGCAGCCGCGGUAAUA
This 467-nucleotide ribosomal RNA is filed under the name uncultured Nocardioides sp. RNAcentral's name for it is "bacterial SSU rRNA". It matches the Rfam family "Bacterial small subunit ribosomal RNA", at positions 39 to 525 of the family's 1533-position model. Lineage: Bacteria; Bacillati; Actinomycetota; Actinomycetes; Propionibacteriales; Nocardioidaceae. The record is from RNAcentral.